This 466-nucleotide ribosomal RNA is filed under the name uncultured bacterium. Its description in RNAcentral is "bacterial SSU rRNA". It matches the Rfam family "Bacterial small subunit ribosomal RNA", at positions 355 to 825 of the family's 1533-position model. The record is from RNAcentral.
UAAGGAAUAUUGGUCAAUGGAGGCAACUCUGAACCAGCCAUGCCGCGUGCAGGAAGAAGGCCCUAUGGGUCGUAAACUGCUUUUGAACAAGAGAAAACCCCGGUACGUGUACUGGGUUGAUAGUAUUGUUAGAAUAAGCAUCGGCUAACUUCGUGCCAGCAGCCGCGGUAAGACGAAGGAUGCAAGCGUUAUCCGGAUUCAUUGGGUUUAAAGGUGCGUAGGCGGACUGAUAAGUCAGUGGUGAAAUCUCUCGGCUUAACCGAGAAACUGCCAUUGAUACUGUUAGUCUAGAGUACAGAUGAUGUGGGCGGAAUAUGACAUGUAGUGGUGAAAUACUUAGAUAUGUCAUAGAACACCGAUUGCGAAGGCAGCUCACAAAACUGUAACUGACGCUGAGGCACGAAAGUGCGGGGAUCAAACAGGAUUAGAUACCCCAGUAGUCCCUGAGCGGGCUGGCAAGGCGCAU